RNAcentral lists this ribosomal RNA (301 nucleotides) under uncultured bacterium. RNAcentral's name for it is "partial 16S ribosomal RNA". It matches the Rfam family "Bacterial small subunit ribosomal RNA", at positions 509 to 807 of the family's 1533-position model. The record is from RNAcentral.
CAGUCGCCACGGUAAUACGAAGGGUGCAAGCGUUAAUCGGAAUUACUGGGCGUAAAGCGUGCGUAGGUGGUGGUUUAAGUCCGUUGUGAAAGCCCUGGGCUCAACCUGGGAAUUGCAGUGGAUACUGGGUCACUAGAGUGUGGUAGAGGAUAGUGGAAUUUCCGGUGUAGCAGUGAAAUGCGUAGAGAUCGGAAGGAACAUCUGUGGCGAAGGCGACUAUCCGGGCCAACACUGACACUGAGGCACGAAAGCGUGGGGAGCAAACAGGAUUAGAUACCCCUGUAGUCCCUGUCUCUUAUAC